Long non-coding RNA from Oryzias melastigma (Indian medaka), 4141 nucleotides. RefSeq lists it as uncharacterized. NCBI's taxonomy places the organism in Eukaryota, Metazoa, Chordata, Actinopteri, Beloniformes, Adrianichthyidae. The record is from RefSeq and is a predicted model, not a curated record. The transcript is spliced from 2 exons.
GGUUACUAAAAAAGAACCGUGAGGACGGCAAAAACGUCUCUGCCAGCGGGAACACCGGUGUAGAAGAGGAAAAUGGCGAAACGGGAAAAGUCACAUGACCCGCCAUCCCGGAAGGAUCCAAUUCUACUGGAGCAGCAAAUGCCUCACUGGAAAGGGAUUCUCUGGUAGCAGUUUUUACCUGGAAAUCGAGGGAGGAGAUGUUGACAUCUUGGCCUGUCUGCCUCAGCAGGUUCUCGUCAUGGGAAACGACCACAUACUCAUCGCGGGUCAGGUGACAGUCCAUCUCCAGCAUCUCCGUGCCCUGCAUCACCGCGCUGGUCAAGAUAAAUUCACAUCAAAAAUGACAAUCUCUCAGUGUUUGCUUGUGUAUUCAGACAGAUCCUUUCCACUAUAUUUUAGAGAAGAAAAAACAACUCAAAACGCUUUAUGACAAAUGAUUGUACCAAGAGGAAAAUAUCUGUUUUUGUACAGAAUGUGCACAGCUAAUAUAUCCAGCACAUCUACCUAACAGAAAGUUGUAUUAUUUCUCAUUUAGCUAAAAAUAGGGUAGACAUCUUUUGGUUUGUCCAUCCAUCUUCUAAACUCACCGAGUCCCUUUCCAGGGGGUGCUGGAGCAAACCCAGCAACUAUUGUCCACCCUGAAGAUGUGUUUUCUGAGGCCUUCUAUCUCAUUUGAAUGUUUAAAUUUUCCUUAAAGACCAAUUUUAUAGAACUUGGAAGCAUGUUUUCUGCCCUGCAGUUCAUCAUCACUCCUCUAGGGGCAGUAGAAGGGAAUUUCCUGCUCAUUUCAAAAUGGCUGCCUCCAUAAAAUCUGGAAAAAGCAGGAAAAUGUUUUACUGAUUUUCACAACCUUAUGGUUAGAAUAAUUUAUCUACUGUUAUCCGUUUCUAUCAAUGACUACUUGCAGUAUUGAAAUAAAGUAAAAUGUGUUGAUAAAUAUAUAUUUUUUACAAUAUUACACCAUGUUAAAAAUGUGUUCCAAAUUUCUGACAGUGAGUAAAAAUUAGGUGUUUUUUCCUGAACACUCAUAUAAAUAUUUUUCUAUAUUAAACCAACAUGGUUGUGAACAUAAACUUACCAAAAUGUAUCACAAAUGAUACUAUCUAUAUCCCAAAAAAUCAUAUUGCAUUUUUUUUUUUUUUUUUUGCAAAUUUCAUUUUUAAUCAAUUAUCUGUCAGUUCUUUGAUGUAGUAGGUUUAACGUGUGAAACAUGUUUUUGGCUGGAAAAAAAAUCAUGCCUCCACAAAGAGAACAUCCAAAAAGGUCCCAGCUGGGAUCUGAACUAGGACCUUCUCAUUGUGAGGCAAGAGCGCCGGCUAACCGUCUUGAGUUUUUUUUUUAAUGGUUGCUUCUUUUUGCAACUGUAGUUGCUUGUGCAAUAUUUUACCAACCUGUUUAGAAACCGUCAGUUUUUCUAGCUGCUCUUCAACAAGUCUACUUUAACUUCUAGCACUUACUUUUCAAACGCCUCUAUGGUGCUCUCUAUCCGCUCUCCACAUCCUGGAACAAACAGAGGCUUUCAUAAAGUGUGACAUUAAAUACCAUAACACUUUAUUUUAAUGGUUACUUGCAGGAAUAAAUAUUUUUUUUCUUUUUGUGUUGAGCUGCUUUACUCUUUUUGGAAAAUUCGAUCAUUUUAUGACAAUGAACAUGUUUACAUAAAGGCUCCAGAAAAAUAUUGUAAUAAUUUGAAUUUGCAACUGUUAAAAAAAUGUCAAAAAUAAGAAUUUUGUUUCAAAUUAAGAAGUAUUUAUUAAAAGUAGAUAACAGCUGCCUAAACCUCUGUAUCAUCAUUGCAAUUCCUGCCUCUUACCUCCUCUGUGUGAGAUGUGAGUGCAGUAGAAAGCGCUGCGUUUCUUUUUGUGCAGAAUGUGUGGGUUCUUCAGCAGGUACAGCGAGGUGAAGGUAUAUCCUCCCAACACCGGGAGGAGAACAUAUAGAAGACUCAUCCUGUCCUGCAAUCAAAUCCAGGGAAUCUCUUACAGAGUCUGCACGGUGUCACAGGUGAGGUGAGUCAGAGUCGAACAAGCUCUGUGCUGAAGAAAAAAAAAGAAAAAUGAAAAUUAUGGGCUGACAGAAGGAAAAAAGAAACUUGCCACGCCUUUCCUUACCUUAAAAAAGUGUCUCUUGGUCAAGUUUCAUUAAAAAACAACAGGAUCUGCCAUGAAAAGUUAAUAAAGCACCAGCUCAUAACCUCAUUUUGCUCCCUUCCCUGGCCUCUCUCGUCAAUGACAGCUCAACGCUCCGUUACAACUGCUAUUCUGUUUCUAGAGUGAAUGUCACUGUGUCAUACCUGAGUGCUGAAUCUUUGCCAAUAAAUUUCCAGGAAUUCUUCAAUAAAUUAUUUUUUAGAUGCACUGCAGCCACGAUCCUAUAUGGUUUGUUAUCCUUGUCAGAUUAUCAAGGUAAGUAACCCAAUUGAGCUCUUAGUUGGCAACAGGAUCCUUCCAAGGGUGUGAAGCAGGUUUCUUGGCAAGUAUUUGACAAAAGGGAUGUGGCAUGUGAGAUUUUUUUUUUUUGAUUCCCCUUUACCAUGUGAGAAAUACAGAAAGGUGAGUUGUGGCUUGCUCAACUUUUACUACAGUCAGCAGGUUAGAUUCUAUUGUCGAGGUUAAAAAGCACAGCUGGGUGUGUGACAAAGGCGGAGUUCUCUCUGAAAUGGUUCAAACCCCAUUUCUAGCUGAACAGACAAAUCCAUUUACAGAAAAAAAAAUGUCCUGCAUGCACAGCUGUCCUCCAAAUGCAGUCUGGACACAUGCAGCAUGUCCCAGAAGCAUUUCUGCUUCAAGUUAAACGGAAACCGUGGUGUUGCAAAACUCUGGGAGUGCCUUACAGCCACGAACAGACAUGCUGAAGGGAAGACAGCAUAGCAGGAAAAGCCGGUUAGCUGAUCAUUACUCAAAGUUCAGAUAUGAGGCAACUUCCAAGUUAUUUGCCCUUCCCUAAAGAUAAAAAAGUGUAUCUUAAAUGUUCUAUUAACCAAAUAAAGGCAUGAAAUCAGAGUAGUUUUUUUUGUAUGUUUUCCAUCUUUAUAAGACCACACAUGAUAGCAAUAUCUUGUCAAGCACAUUAAUAAUUCGAGAUUUUCAAAAUAAAAGUUGAUCUCAAUAAAAAUAUAUAUACUCAAAAAUGAUUUAAAAAGUUCUGUCCAUACAUUUCACAUUAAGGACAAAAUGGAAAUUAGAAGCUAAAUUAAAGUCACAUGUGGCCCUGAGGUUCCAUGUGACUCUUUGACCCCUCUGUUGUGGAUCUCUGGUUAAGAAAAAAAAAUAAAUGUUUUUAAUAACAAUUUAAAAAAAAGUAACAGAUUUUUCACUACAUCAGCGAAACAAAACAGAUGAGUGAAACUUGAUUCAGCUAACAAGGCUGACUACAGUACCCAUAAGCUAUCAAGCAGUGCAACUUCCUAGUUUGCCAAAGUUGUACUAAAGCAGGUCAGCCAGUUUAAGGUACACCGGAUUAUAAAGCAGGUUCAAGGAUUUUAAGUUAUGGAUCAAAAAGUACAGUAAUGAUCACUGAAUUAGGUUAGAUUUAUGAAUUUCUGGCUGAGAUGCACCACAAAUAGUAAACUAUGUAUUCUUUUUAAUCACUGCUGAAGUCACACUACCUACUUCUACAUUUGUUGCAUUGAAAUUCAUCCUAAAUGGGGAAGGAUGUCUAAUUUUGAAAGGAAGCCAUGUAAACAGCUCAAAAGUUAGGAAGAAUUCAAUAUUAUGAAGGAAAAAAAAAACCACUUUUUCUCCAUUUUAUUUAUGCUUAAAAAUGUAAUUUACAUUGAUCCUAAUAGUAACAAUAACAUAUGAACAACUCAGUGUCCUUUUAUCUAAAAAUACUGCAACUCCUUCUGGGUUUGCCUCUUUAAGUGUGGAAAGGUGCAGAUCCUGCAAUAGUUAAAGGACUCAAACUAAUAAAACCUCAAGGAGCCAGCAGAUUUUGUUAAUGUUUUACAUGCAUUUAAAAAAGUCAAAAUAUAAUUUGAUAUAUUUAACUGUAAAAUAUUAUUUCAGUUACUGCCCAAAAAAACAACAAAAAAACAGCACAGCCACUACACAGUAUCAGGAAAUUUUUAUUAUAUUUAUAUAAUUCCGUUUUUGUUAAUCAUUUUAUUCAUAAUACCCAUAGAAUAUACAGACUAUAACCC